GACGAACGCUGGCGGCGUGCUUAACACAUGCAAGUCGAACGGAAAGGCCCUGCUUUUGUGGGGUGCUCGAGUGGCGAACGGGUGAGUAACACGUGAGUAACCUGCCCUUGACUUUGGGAUAACUUCAGGAAACUGGGGCUAAUACCGGAUAGGAGCUCCUGCUGCAUGGUGGGGGUUGGAAAGUUUCGGCGGUUGGGGAUGGACUCGCGGCUUAUCAGCUUGUUGGUGGGGUAGUGGCUUACCAAGGCUUUGACGGGUAGCCGGCCUGAGAGGGUGACCGGCCACAUUGGGACUGAGAUACGGACCAGACUCCUACGGGCGGCAGCAGUGGGGAAUAUUGCACAAUGGGCGGAAGCCUGAUGCAGCAACGCCGCGUGCGGGAUGACGGCCUUCGGGUUGUAAACCGAUUUCGACUGUGACGAAGCGUGAGUGACGGUAAUGGGUAAAGAAGCACCGGCUAACUACGUG
This 468-nucleotide ribosomal RNA is filed under the name uncultured bacterium. RNAcentral's name for it is "partial 16S ribosomal RNA". It matches the Rfam family "Bacterial small subunit ribosomal RNA", at positions 28 to 507 of the family's 1533-position model. The record is from RNAcentral.